AUUGAACGCUGGCGGCAGGCCUAACACAUGCAAGUCGAGCGAGCGGCGGACGGGUUAGUAAUGUAUGGGGAUCUGCGCGAUAGAGGGGGAUAACUACUGGAAACGGUGGCUAAUACCGCAUACUCUCGGAUGUACCCAUAUGGGAUUAGCUAGUUGGUGGGGUAAAGGCUCACCAAGGCAACGAUCUCUAGCUGGGCUGAGAGGAUGAACAGCCAAACUGUGACUGAGCCAAGGCCCAGACUCCUACGGGAGGCAGCAGUGGGGAAUAUUGCACAAUGGGCGCAAGCCUGAUGCAGCCAUGCCGCGUGUAUGAAGAAGGCCUUAGGGUUGUAAAGUACUUUCAGCGGGGAGGCGUUACCCGCAGAAGAAGCACCGGCUAUCUCCGUGCCAGCAGCCGCGGUAAUAC
RNAcentral lists this ribosomal RNA (406 nucleotides) under uncultured bacterium. Its description in RNAcentral is "partial 16S ribosomal RNA". It matches the Rfam family "Bacterial small subunit ribosomal RNA", at positions 30 to 526 of the family's 1533-position model. The record is from RNAcentral.